Long non-coding RNA from Psammomys obesus (fat sand rat), 1839 nucleotides. RefSeq lists it as uncharacterized. The record is from RefSeq and is a predicted model, not a curated record. The transcript is spliced from 3 exons. Lineage: Eukaryota; Metazoa; Chordata; Mammalia; Rodentia; Muridae.
UUAGAAUAAGCAUCACAGUGCAAUGUCCAGAUUGAAACCAGAUAGUGGGGGAGAGAAAUCAGCAUUUGAAUGAACAAGGGUAAAUUGUAUAUACUCCAUAAGAACAUUAUACCAACAGUGGACUCAGGAAACUGGAAGGAAAGAUGGCAGAACAGAGCCGGGGGCACAGGGGAGAAUGGAAGAACUGAAGAGGGUGAUGCCUUGGUCCAUGCUGUAGCCAGAAACCAUGUCCAUGCUCUGCGCUGCUGCUGACUAUAAAGUCUCCCAGGUGGUACUCGUUUGGAAGGCCUGAAGGGGUCCUGGAGAAUAGCUGAGGCUUGGCACCAUGAAGAGAGCCUAUGAGAGGCCAUUGGGGAAAGUGCAGGCCAGUGGCAGCAGAAGAUCCUACUGUUUUGGAGAUGCCAGUGCCUUGGAUGACCACCAAGAACAGCAGUGGAGUAGAGCCAGCGGGCGCUGAGGAGACAAGCUGUGUGUGCUGCAGAGGGCAGAACUGGAAAAGUGACGAAUGCUCUUUGGAGGAGCCCAGGAGGCUGCGCCCACAGCUGAAGACUUCAAACUUUAUUUUGUUUUCCAGGCUAGCCUUGAACUCACAGAGAUCUGAUUGUCUCUGCCUCCCGAGUGCUGGGAUUAAAGGCAUGGACCACCACAGCCUGGCUGACUUAAAACUUUUAGAAGAGAUUUUUGAUUUUUAGAGAGAUUGGCUAUUUUAAAGAGUCUGAAAUGUUAAUGUGCUUGAAUUUAUAAGGACUGUGGGACUUUUAAAGUUCUUUGUUUUUAAUGUGAGAUCUUCAGGAUGCAUAAGAAUGGAAAGGUUAUGACUUACUUAGUGAUUUGUUUGUGUGUGGAGUUGACAAGGGGUCAGUUGUGUUGGUGUUACCCCAAGAGAGGGAGGAACCUCUUAGUGUUGUUUUGCUAAAUGACAUGUUAGCAGACUGCUUCCUAAGAAUUUUGCUUGCAUCUGUAGAUUAGUACUGCCCUCAAGCCAGGGAAGGAAAGUUUCUCUCUGGAGUGGUCAACAGUUAAUGCAGAGACUUAUAACUGGUCAAAGUGAUGAGGAGGGAUGUCUAUUGAGUGCUAAACACGAUAGGGGAUAUUUGUGUCUGUAGGAGGUGUGGAGGUCUUUGUGUUCACAGAUAAGUACUAGGGAAACUUGGAAUGCCAAGUACACUGGGUUGUUCCUUAAAGGGAAGGAAGGAAUGCAGCUCCUGCUCUCUCUCCAGAAGACUGGCAGCAGAUGUGCUUAGCAGCCUGGUGGCUUCUGUGCCGUGUGGCCGGAGACUUCUCUGGCCAUGACUUUUCCCCACACCCUUAUUUAAUUUUCUUACUCAGUAAACCUAGAGAACUUAUCUUUAUAGACUUUACAAAGAGUUUCAAUAUAGCCAUGUUUGAUGUGAAUUUACCUUAUUUGUUCCUCGAGAUUUAUGUAUGCUUUCUUGUGCAUGUCAGUUGAGUUACUUAUAGCCAGAAUAGUUUUCACCAAAUUGUGCUGUGCUUAAUACACAUGAACUAUUAAGGGUCAGACCCCAGAAGUUUGAACCAACACUGUUGAGUCAUGUUGAACGGAACUGCCUCCGAGCCUCCUGCAGAUGUCACUAUGCUGUGAAGGCCAUAGAGACCCUACGUAUGUCACCUUGGCCCACCAAGGCUCAGGAAACAUCAGAAGAGAGAUGGAAAGCAUGUAGGAUCCAGAAGAUGUACUGUGAGGUGCCGUCUUUUCAUGAACUCUGACCUGGAUAAGCCUGCAGGAGAUCAAGUGAAUGAAUCCUGUCAACAUUCCAAUAGGCAGCAUGAGUUGGAUUCAAUGUAUUAUGAGUAACACAAAAAGAAAAACACAAAGAG